GGUGGGGUUCCCGAGCGGCCAAAGGGAGCAGACUGUAAAUCUGCCGUCAUCGACUUCGAAGGUUCUAAUCCUUCCCCCACCACCA
Molecule: transfer RNA, 85 nt
Filed under: Escherichia coli
Lineage: Bacteria; Pseudomonadati; Pseudomonadota; Gammaproteobacteria; Enterobacterales; Enterobacteriaceae
Description: tRNA-Tyr
Rfam family: tRNA
About the family: Transfer RNA (tRNA) molecules are approximately 80 nucleotides in length. Their secondary structure includes four short double-helical elements and three loops (D, anti-codon, and T loops). Further hydrogen bonds mediate the characteristic L-shaped molecular structure. tRNAs have two regions of fundamental functional importance: the anti-codon, which is responsible for specific mRNA codon recognition, and the 3' end, to which the tRNAs corresponding amino acid is attached (by aminoacyl-tRNA synthetases). tRNAs cope with the degeneracy of the genetic code in two manners: having more than one tRNA (with a specific anti-codon) for a particular amino acid; and 'wobble' base-pairing, i.e. permitting non-standard base-pairing at the 3rd anti-codon position.
Source: RNAcentral